GUUAGCCACGAAGAUGAAAAUAUCUCCCUCAGUCAGCCCCUCUCACGUCCUCCUCGAUUCCUUCCACUCCCUCGCGACCCCCGCCGCCGCCUCCCCUCCUGCCGCCGUCGCGCCAGGGCCCCGCCUCGCCCUCACCGGCCACCGGCGACCUCCAACCCUUGUUCUCCGCCUCGUCGCCAUAGCCACCUUGAGCUUGAGCAGAGGAGCGGCUCGGCAGGACGAGGGGGCAGCAGCCAGCCGCGCCUUGUCCGUGUCGCGUGGUGGCCCAGAUGCGGUCGCCCCCUGCUCUGCCUCCAUGAGCGCGGCCCCGAUCCAGACUCGGCAGGAGGAGGGGAGCAGCAGCCGGCCAUGCUGUGUUGGCCGUGGAGGAGGAAGGAACUCAUGUGGCUAGGGUUCGGCUACCCUCGUCAUCCAUCUCCUCGAUCUCUCUCUGUCUGGCCGUGGUCUGAAGGAGGAAGAAGGGACCCAGCGAAAUCGAGCGAUGCGGGCUGCAAUAGCCUAAAUAGGUGGUGGUCGAGAGUCGAGACCACGGGAGCGGGAGCGACGGCCAUCUCCCCCCGCCCCACUCUCUUUACCACCCCUAUGGAGAUGCUUUGCUGGGGACAUAUGAUUUCAUCCCAUUCUGUACUAUCCAUCAGGCCUCGGAUCCACGGCUUCUCCAUCUUCCUCCUCCAGCCCCUUUCUCCAUGUCGGCCAUCCAAGAUAGAGACGGCUUGGAUGGCAAGGGCCAAGCAUCGGCAUGGAUGACAGCCUCCAAGAUUUAAGUGGUCAAUUAUGAAUGACGAUGCAGCCUGCAGAGUCAGGGUACCGACACCCAAAUAAAUUCAGGCCAGUCCUCGAUGUGAAGAAGCUAAGGGAGGCGGAUCCCGACCCUUAUGACAGCCAAAAUUAGGCCGCCACUCGUCUCUCUCUUGCACCUACUCUUCAGAUGGCCAACAACACUUCGUGAGCAAUGACUGCUGUCCAGUUAAGAGCAAGAAAGAUCUUGCUGUUACUUGUCUUUUCAACAGUUCUUCUGUGUGGAAGGCUCUUUGCUCACACUCAAAUACUACCACUGAAACAUGGAAGAAGGAAAAGGUUACUCUUCUGAUCUUGAGAAAACAGUUUCAGAGAAGCUAGCAGAUGCAGAAGGAUCUCUGAAGAAGUUGAAGCUGGUCUAUUCAGCACCCUGCAUCGUUACUUGAAUCGCCUUUCUGGCCUUGUAACUGUACCGCUUUAACAGAGUUCGACGUGUAUCGGUACCAUGUUCUCUUCAAUUUGCUGUUGUGCUACUCAUUAACAGAAAUGGCUUCCUCUUCUUGCGAACCACACUGAUGUUGGCUUCUGGUUUCUGCUGUAAUGAUUUUUUUAACUACGGACAGCGUUUCUUAAGGCUAUGUCUCUGCUAUAGGUCACCGCAUUUCGGGGGACUAAGUCCGAUGACGGGAGAUUCUACAUAUGUGUUUAUUCGUCCGGUGACUUAGUAGAACAAUAACCUCUGUGCACAGUGAUAUUUCAGUUUCUACUAGAAGGUUUCAAAAUUGAACACGGAGGGUUUUAAUGAGUCUUGUACCGGACUGAGAACAAAUUAUGCUUUCUGGGUUUUUGAGUUUCAAGCUACUCAAAAUAAUUGAAGCUUUGGCUUCGCUAUGUAAGAAUGGUUGCAUGUGUUAAUUAGUGGUGCGCAUUUUUUGAGACUGUCCAAAAUUCUAUUAUAAAGUGCUUAUAUGAAAUUGAUAGGUACCUGGAA
Long non-coding RNA from Triticum urartu, 1729 nucleotides. RefSeq lists it as uncharacterized. The record is from RefSeq and is a predicted model, not a curated record. Lineage: Eukaryota; Viridiplantae; Streptophyta; Magnoliopsida; Poales; Poaceae.